RNAcentral lists this long non-coding RNA (263 nucleotides) under Vigna radiata. Its description in RNAcentral is "long non-coding RNA (VRAD_LNC013983)". Lineage: Eukaryota; Viridiplantae; Streptophyta; Magnoliopsida; Fabales; Fabaceae. The record is from RNAcentral.
UAUUAACAUGUGGCGUGGCCACACUUGGAGGAUUUGUAGGGGCAGUUUCCUCCGGCGGAGGUUAUGGUGGCAAAUAUGGUUUGUUAUCGAAAGGAGGAGAAAGGGUUAGAUUUGAAACCGGAUUGGUUGGUGGCGUAUAGGGGCACUGAAUGAAUGAAGGUGGGAUUGGUGAAUUGAAAUUGGGGUUUGGGAAUGUGGUUCGUGAAGGAAUGAAUGCAAGACCCACCAGAACAUUGUGGUGACGACGGCAUCAAAGUCCCAUU